Molecule: ribosomal RNA, 717 nt
Filed under: uncultured bacterium
Lineage: Bacteria
Description: bacterial SSU rRNA
Rfam family: Bacterial small subunit ribosomal RNA
Source: RNAcentral
GAUACCCUGGUAGUCCACACUGUAAACGAUGGAUACUAGGUGUAGGGUGUAUUAAGCACUCUGUGCCGCCGCUAACGCAUUAAGUAUCCCACCUGGGGAGUACGACCGCAAGGUUGAAACUCAAAGGAAUUGACGGGGGCCCGCACAAGCAGUGGAGUAUGUGGUUUAAUUCGAAGCAACGCGAAGAACCUUACCAGGGCUUGACAUAUACCGGAAUAAUCUAGAGAUAGAUUAGUCCUUCGGGACUGGUAUACAGGUGGUGCAUGGUUGUCGUCAGCUCGUGUCGUGAGAUGUUGGGUUAAGUCCCGCAACGAGCGCAACCCCUGUCCUUAGUUGCCAGCACGUAAAGGUGGGAACUCUAAGGAGACUGCCGGUGAUAAAUCGGAGGAAGGUGGGGAUGACGUCAAAUCAUCAUGCCCUUUAUGUCCUGGGCUACACACGUACUACAAUGGCCGUGACAGAGAGAAACGAAGUAGUGAUGCAGAGUAAAACUCAAAAAACGGUCUCAGUUCGGAUUGAAGGCUGAAAUUCGCCUUCAUGAAGCUGGAAUUGCUAGUAAUGGCAGGUCAGCAUACUGCCGUGAAUACGUUCCCGGGCCUUGUACACACCGCCCGUCACACCAUGAGAGUUGGAAAUACCCGAAGCCUGUGAGCUAACUUAAAGAGGCAGCAGUCGAAGGUAGAGCCAAUGAUUGGGGUGAAGUCGUAACAAGGUAAC